AGCGUACACGGUGGAUGCCCUGGCAGUCAGAGGCGAUGAAGGACGUGCUAAUCUGCGAUAAGCGUCGGUAAGGUGAUAUGAACCGUUAUAACCGGCGAUUUCCGAAUGGGGAAACCCAGUGUGAUUCGUCACACUAUCAUUAACUGAAUCCAUAGGUUAAUGAGGCGAACCGGGGGAACUGAAACAUCUAAGUACCCCGAGGAAAAGAAAUCAACCGAGAUUCCCCCAGUAGCGGCGAGCGAACGGGGAGGAGCCCAGAGCCUGAAUCAGUGUGUGUGUUAGUGGAAGCGUCUGGAAAGGCGCGCGAUACAGGGUGACAGCCCCGUACACAAAAAUGCACAUGCUGUGAGCUCGAUGAGUAGGGCGGGACACGUGGUAUCCUGUCUGAAUAUGGGGGGACCAUCCUCCAAGGCUAAAUACUCCUGACUGACCGAUAGUGAACCAGUACCGUGAGGGAAAGGCGAAAAGAACCCCGGCGAGGGGAGUGAAAAAGAACCUGAAACCGUGUACGUACAAGCAGUGGGAGCACGCUUAGGCGUGUGACUGCGUACCUUUUGUAUAAUGGGUCAGCGACUUAUAUUCUGUAGCAAGGUUAACCGAAUAGGGGAGCCGAAGGGAAACCGAGUCUUAACUGGGCGUUAAGUUGCAGGGUAUAGACCCGAAACCCGGUGAUCUAGCCAUGGGCAGGUUGAAGGUUGGGUAACACUAACUGGAGGACCGAACCGACUAAUGUUGAAAAAUUAGCGGAUGACUUGUGGCUGGGGGUGAAAGGCCAAUCAAACCGGGAGAUAGCUGGUUCUCCCCGAAAGCUAUUUAGGUAGCGCCUCGUGAAUUCAUCUCCGGGGGUAGAGCACUGUUUCGGCAAGGGGGUCAUCCCGACUUACCAACCCGAUGCAAACUGCGAAUACCGGAGAAUGUUAUCACGGGAGACACACGGCGGGUGCUAACGUCCGUCGUGAAGAGGGAAACAACCCAGACCGCCAGCUAAGGUCCCAAAGUCAUGGUUAAGUGGGAAACGAUGUGGGAAGGCCCAGACAGCCAGGAUGUUGGCUUAGAAGCAGCCAUCAUUUAAAGAAAGCGUAAUAGCUCACUGGUCGAGUCGGCCUGCGCGGAAGAUGUAACGGGGCUAAACCAUGCACCGAAGCUGCGGCAGCGACGCUUAUGCGUUGUUGGGUAGGGGAGCGUUCUGUAAGCCUGCGAAGGUGUGCUGUGAGGCAUGCUGGAGGUAUCAGAAGUGCGAAUGCUGACAUAAGUAACGAUAAAGCGGGUGAAAAGCCCGCUCGCCGGAAGACCAAGGGUUCCUGUCCAACGUUAAUCGGGGCAGGGUGAGUCGACCCCUAAGGCGAGGCCGAAAGGCGUAGUCGAUGGGAAACAGGUUAAUAUUCCUGUACUUGGUGUUACUGCGAAGGGGGGACGGAGAAGGCUAUGUUGGCCGGGCGACGGUUGUCCCGGUUUAAGCGUGUAGGCUGGUUUUCCAGGCAAAUCCGGAAAAUCAAGGCUGAGGCGUGAUGACGAGGCACUACGGUGCUGAAGCAACAAAUGCCCUGCUUCCAGGAAAAGCCUCUAAGCAUCAGGUAACAUCAAAUCGUACCCCAAACCGACACAGGUGGUCAGGUAGAGAAUACCAAGGCGCUUGAGAGAACUCGGGUGAAGGAACUAGGCAAAAUGGUGCCGUAACUUCGGGAGAAGGCACGCUGAUAUGUAGGUGAAGUCCCUCGCGGAUGGAGCUGAAAUCAGUCGAAGAUACCAGCUGGCUGCAACUGUUUAUUAAAAACACAGCACUGUGCAAACACGAAAGUGGACGUAUACGGUGUGACGCCUGCCCGGUGCCGGAAGGUUAAUUGAUGGGGUCAGCGCAAGCGAAGCUCUUGAUCGAAGCCCCGGUAAACGGCGGCCGUAACUAUAACGGUCCUAAGGUAGCGAAAUUCCUUGUCGGGUAAGUUCCGACCUGCACGAAUGGCGUAAUGAUGGCCAGGCUGUCUCCACCCGAGACUCAGUGAAAUUGAACUCGCUGUGAAGAUGCAGUGUACCCGCGGCAAGACGGAAAGACCCCGUGAACCUUUACUAUAGCUUGACACUGAACAUUGAGCCUUGAUGUGUAGGAUAGGUGGGAGGCUUUGAAGUGUGGACGCCAGUCUGCAUGGAGCCGACCUUGAAAUACCACCCUUUAAU
This 2172-nucleotide ribosomal RNA is filed under the name Escherichia coli. Its description in RNAcentral is "bacterial LSU rRNA". It matches the Rfam family "Bacterial large subunit ribosomal RNA", at positions 14 to 2211 of the family's 2925-position model. The record is from RNAcentral. Lineage: Bacteria; Pseudomonadati; Pseudomonadota; Gammaproteobacteria; Enterobacterales; Enterobacteriaceae.